This 46-nucleotide non-coding RNA is filed under the name Schistosoma margrebowiei. Lineage: Eukaryota; Metazoa; Platyhelminthes; Trematoda; Strigeidida; Schistosomatidae. The record is from RNAcentral.
AUCCAGUUGACGAGUCCCAAAAUAGGACGAAACAUACGUUCUAGAU